AGAUGUGAGGAUGAUCUGGCUGAGACUUCUGUCAACCCGCUGAUUGUCAGGGUUGAUUUGGUUGAUGUGCCUGGCUAUCCGGGUGUCUUCACUCUUGUCAGUACUCUAUGUGUGUCCUUCCUGAAGCUGCAUGCUCAGUAGAAGAGGACGAGCUUUCCUGAGUAGAGGCAGGCUGGUCUUUGGUCAAGGGAGUAGGAGUAGUUGACCUCCUCUGCUAGAAACUCCAAACAAGCUCUCAGAAAGAGGUGGGUUGUGUUCCUGAGGGUGACAUCCGAGGUUGUCAGACAACCUACAUGUGCAUCUGUAAACACACAUGCAUGUGCACCUGCACACACACAUACGU
This 343-nucleotide small nuclear RNA is filed under the name Jaculus jaculus (lesser Egyptian jerboa). Its description in RNAcentral is "7SK RNA (ENSJJAG00000001457.1)". The stretch from base 1 to 293 matches the Rfam family "7SK RNA". Rfam says of the family: 7SK was discovered as an abundant small nuclear RNA in the mid-70s but a possible function has only recently been suggested. Two independent studies have found that 7SK RNA binds the CDK9/cyclin T complex (known as elongation factor P-TEFb). The record is from Rfam by way of RNAcentral. Lineage: Eukaryota; Metazoa; Chordata; Mammalia; Rodentia; Dipodidae.